CGGUGGUCGGAAGAUGCAGGGCUUCCCGUGACUGGGGCCGUCCGGCUCCGUGCCACCCGCAGUCCCCGACGCAUUUGUCUCUCGUCCGAAGGACGUCGCAGCCGGUCGGGCAGCGCAAGCGUGACGGCCUGAAGGCGGGGAAAUGGCAGGUGGCCGGUGGCGAUCCUCGUGUUCGUCGCCGGUUGUUAGCCGUCCCCGUAGUGGCACGUCGCUCGACCGAGGUGUCUAGAGUCCCCCCGGGGACCACGCGCCUCCUCCACCAGGAGCGAGCGAAGGGUCGCAGGCUUCGGGACCCGCGUUGUCGCACCGCUCUGCGGUGGGCUCGUGGUCGUCCGAUACCGUUGGCGAUCCGUGACUCGUUGGAGGCCGGAGGCUUGCGGCGAGUAGGUCGGUCACCCACCCGACCCGUCUUGAAACACGGACCAAGGAGUCCAACAUGUGCGCGAGUCAGUGGGUCUUGAACAGGCCCACGGGCGCAAUGAAAGCGAAGGCAGGCUCUCGUCUGCCGAGUUGGGAUCCCCGUCCCAGGGCGGGGCGCACCAACGACCCGUCCCGUCCGGUUCGCCGGUGGGAUGGAGUAUGAGCGUACACGUUGGGACCCGAAAGAUGGUGAACUAUGCCCGGACAGGACGAGGCCAGAG
RNAcentral lists this ribosomal RNA (641 nucleotides) under Apollophanes sp. DP-2014. RNAcentral's name for it is "eukaryotic LSU rRNA". The stretch from base 422 to 641 matches the Rfam family "Eukaryotic large subunit ribosomal RNA", at positions 665 to 857 of the family's 3401-position model. The record is from RNAcentral. Lineage: Eukaryota; Metazoa; Arthropoda; Arachnida; Araneae; Philodromidae.